Molecule: long non-coding RNA, 205 nt
Filed under: Oryza brachyantha (malo sina)
Lineage: Eukaryota; Viridiplantae; Streptophyta; Magnoliopsida; Poales; Poaceae
Description: long non-coding RNA (OBRA_LNC001926)
Source: RNAcentral
UCACCACCUCCGAUUCAUUCUCCAUUGCAGCAACCACCUCCAUCUCCAUCGUCUAUAUAUCCACCUCUCUCUGUGUGUGUUCCUUCUUGCAUUGCACUAGCCAGGGCCUAGAGCUAGGAAGAAGAAGAAGAAAGAAGAAGAAGAGGGAUGAGGAUGGAGGUGGCGGCGGCGGCGGUGGGGGAGGAGGAGGAGGCGGCGGCGGGGG